CAAGGGCGGGAUGGGAGGCGCGGCAGCACCGGGCCAGCGGGGGCGGCGGCGCCGGCCCGGCUGCCAGAUCCGGCAGGGGCGGGAGGGGAGGCGCGGCCGGCGGCGGCGGACCGGCAGGGGCGAGGGAAGGUGCGGUUGCGGACGACGGCGGGAGGGGAAGUGGCCGAGGCCCGACGGCGGCUGCGGUCUCCACCUCUGCCGCCUCUGUCGGCGACACCUCCAGCCGUGCCUCCGCUUCCGCCUCCGCCCGCGCCAGCCGGCCGCCACCUACACCUCCACCUCCGCUGGCGCCUCCCCCCGCCUCCUGGCCUCCCUCACCUCCGCCACUGACUGUGCUAGCCGCCGGAUCCGACCUCCACGAGGCCGGGGAUGCGCAGAUCUGAACACCAGCAGCAGAGGAGUGCCUCUUCGAGAUCCUCCACCGCCUCCCUGGCGGCAUCGAGCGUGGCGCUUCCACCUGCGUCUCCCGUCGCUG
RNAcentral lists this long non-coding RNA (475 nucleotides) under Oryza sativa Indica Group (long-grained rice). RNAcentral describes it as "lncRNA OsKYG_06g0010480". The record is from RNAcentral. Lineage: Eukaryota; Viridiplantae; Streptophyta; Magnoliopsida; Poales; Poaceae.